Molecule: non-coding RNA, 4696 nt
Organism: Xyrichtys novacula (pearly razorfish)
Lineage: Eukaryota; Metazoa; Chordata; Actinopteri; Labriformes; Labridae
Source: the annotation of a GenBank genome assembly
GCUUCACACUCAUAAAUCCCGCCUCCGCCAGCAAAGCUUAUGGGGCUGGGGACAAACUUUAGAAAUUUAGUAUACAAAACAUAAAUUUUUCUCCCCCCUGCUUGUGAUGUUGACAUGUAGCUACUGUAAGACUGGUUUGUGCUCAAGUCCUUUUUUUUCUGUGAAGCGCCAUUUUUAAAAGUGCUAUAACUGAAACUGAACCUCCUACCUGACAGACAGGAUAUUCAUGGUAAGCAUAGACACGUGCUCCUCCAAAGUCUAUAAAAUAAAAUAAACUCCCUAUUUAUGGAUGUUGAUCGCUUACUGUGUGCUGACCUGGUCCGGAAUGGUUAAUAGGAGGAUGUAAAUACACGUCUGAAAAUGAGACCUGGAUCUGACAUAUUACCAUUACUAUUAGUACAGUUGCAUUGGAUAUGCAAAGCAUUCUGGUACUUUGUCUUUGUCUUAAUGCAUGUGUUUUUCUGAUAUUUUUGUCUCAGCGAGAGUGAACAGGCAUAAACUGCGUUUAUGUUGUUUUGCCCCUACUAUAAAACAUUCAGGGCUUGAGCCCAGGUAUCCACCCCCUAACUUCACCCACUGAUCUACCUUCCUAGACACAUGCUCCUCUAAAGUCCAUAAAAUAACAUGGUGUGCCCCACCAGGGUUCGAUUUUAGGCCUAGUGCUUUUUAACCUGUACAUGCUCCCUCUUGGUAGUGUCAUCAGGAGACAAGGAAUCAACUUCCACAGCUAUGCUGAUGAUAUGCAGCUCUACAUCUCCGUGUCUCCUGAUGACACCAGGCCAAUGGAUGCUCUUUUAACUGAAUUAUAGAUAUCAAAUCCUGGAUGGCAGAGAACUUUCUCCAGCUUAACCAGGACAAAGGUUUUAGUCAUCGGUCAUGAGGCCCAGAGAGAGAAACCUUUAACCAAAACUACAAGCACUGUCUUUUAAUCCCUCACCACAAGUGAAAAACGUGGGUGUCAUUUUUGACACUGAGCUGACUUUUAGUCCACACAUUAAGAACAUAACAAAAAUAGUUUUUUAUCACCUGAGGAACAGCGCCAGAGUCCAUCCCAUUAUCUCACAGGCCAACACGGAGACGCUAAUGCAUGCUUUUAUCACCAGUCGAAUAGACUAUUGUAAUGCCCUGCUUUCUGGUCUUCCCAAAAAGAAUGUUUCAGGUUUACAAUUAUUACAAAAUUCGGCAGCACGUGUCCUGAAUAAGACCAGGAGCUGGGCCCCCAUAACACCAAUUUUGGAAUAAUUGCAUUGGCUCCCUGUGUGCUUUAGGAUCAACUUUAAGGUUCUUUUACUUGUUUUUGAAUGCCUUAAUGGUCUUGGGCCUUUUUAUCUUUAUCUGCUUUUACCUUAUGAACCUACAUGGACCCUGCGCUUCUCUGGCAGCAGGCUCCUAGUCAUUCCAAAAGUCAGGACACACACUCAUGGUGAGGGGUCUUUGUAAUUGUAUUUGUAUCUAUUGUCACUAAGAUGGUCUGUGUUUUAUUCAUAUUUUAGUUUUUCUUAUAACUAUUUUUAUAGCACUUUUAAAAACAGAAGUUUACAAAGUGCUUUGACAAACAGUUGCAAGCACAGAAGAUCAGCACAUAAAAUAAAAACAAAUAAAAACAAAAGCUCAGUUAAAAACAAGGCCUCCGAAUUGAAGGCCAAUUUCAUUUGUCAUAAGAAACCCAGACAAUACAAGAACCCUACAACAUAAAAAGCGACCAUGAGGACAAAAAUAAAAACAUAAAAUAGGUAAGAAAAAGAAAUGAAAUAAAAAGGGGGGGAAGAAAGCAGGAAACAGGAUAGUAAAUAUAAAAGAGCAUAUCAACAAUGAUAAUAAAAUCAUAAUAAAAUAAUAAUGAUGGUUAUAUUAAUGAUAAAAUGGAAUAACAAAAAUGAGCAGGAAAAAACAAUAAAAUCAAUAAAGGGCCGAAAAGGUAAAAUAAGAAAAGAUUAUAAGUAAAACAAAGGCUAAAACUAAAGUAAGUUAAAAUAAGAUAAAGAUAAAAGAAAAAGGGGGAAAAAGGGAAAAGACGGCAUUGACUUAAAAGAAGCAAGUGUCUCUGCACGCCUUAUCUCCUCUGGCAGUCGUUCCAAAGUCGAGGAGCUCUGAUAGAGAAAGCACUAUCACCUUUAGUUUUGAACCUCCAAUUUGGAAUGACCAGUAGACCGUCGCCAGAGGAUCUGAGGCUGCGAGUUGUCUCAUAAUGUAUUAAAAGCUCUGAAAUGUAGCUUGGAGCGAGUCCUUUAAGCGCUUUAAAAGUAGUCAAUAAAAUCUUAAAAUCAAUUCUAAAACUGACAGGAAGCCAGUGAAGGGAGGCUAAAAUUGGAGUGAUGUGAUGCCAUCUGCUAAAACCAGUUAAAAGCCGAGCUGCGGGAGAGUGAUUUCUUGUUUAAACCAGGGAGGAAAGAGUUACAGUAGUCCAGCCUUGAGAAAAUGAAAGCAUUGAUUAUUUUUUCGAGAUCUGGUGGGGUGAGUAUUUGUUUCAUCUUUGAAAUAGUACGCAGGCGAAGGAAACAGGACUGGACAAUCUUGUUGAUAUGGGUGGAGAAGGUGAGGUCUGAAUCGAAGGUUACUCCUAGAUUAUUGGCUGUUGGUUUGAUGAUUGCUGAAUAUGGACCGAGACAAGACUGAAUAAGGGGGGAGUUUUGUAUGUUACAGAGAAUUAUUUCAGAUUUUGAAUAAUUUAGUUCAAAGGAAAUUUUCUGCCAUCCAACAGUUAAUGUCACUUAGACAGACCAUGACAGCAGCUCAGCCUCUUGGAUCCUCAGGUCUCAAAGGAAGGUAUAUCUGUGUGUCAUCUGCAUAGCAGUGAAAGGAGACUUUGUGGCGCUAAAUUAAUUGGCUGAGGGGCAGCAUGUAGAUAGAAAAUAAAAUUGGACCUGAAACUGAACCUUGCAGUACACCACAGGCAGAAGUAGAGGAGGUGUGAUUGCCUAUGGUGACCGCAAAGGUUGGUUCUAAAAGAUACGACUGAAACCAGCUAAGUGCAGUGCCCCUGAUACCCACCCAGUUUUUAAGAUGCUUUUUCAGAGGAGCUACAGAGUCCAGGAUGGUUCCACACAUAAUGUUAAAAAGAUAGACAAGCUCUUCAGUGUUAAAAACUGGAUUAAAACCUGGGUUGAAGCCAAUUAAAGAUGCAGAGAUAAAAAGCUAUGAAAACUUGCCAGCAGACGUUGCAUUAAAAACUAUUCUAAAAACAGGAGUGUGAUCAGUAAAAGAAGGCUGGGAUGAAACCAUGGAGAAUAAAACCAGUUUGUGAUCUGACACACAGAUAUCCUUAGUUAAAAACUCCCCAGGACGAAGUCCGGUAAAUAAAAUAAAAUCUAGGCAAUCAAAUCAAAUCAAAUUUUAUUUAUAUAGCGCCAAUUCAUAACUGUCGUCAUCUCAAGACGCCUUUCAAAGGACAAGAGCUGGGGCCUGUUCUACGAAGCAAGUUCAACCUAGCAAGGUAGCCUUGGAGCUACCUCACUCAACUUAGCGCGGUAGCCAGCGGUUUCACUAAACUGAUUCACGACGCUGGUUAUCAACCUCGUAAAUUGAUCCAGCUUUGCUAUGAGCGCGUACACGCAUGUAAGGUGGAGCCCGCUGCAUCUGACCAAUCGCGAACAUGGACCAGUCUGGAGCGUCAGAGCAGACCGGAGAGCGAAGGACCGCGGACUUUACAAACGAGGAGCAGGAAGGAGACGAUCAUGAGAAAGUAUAAAGAAUUAAAAUCUGUCAUAAACCUCAAAAGCAACACAGUUGCCACUGCAAAAGCACGGAGGGAAUGCUGGCAGAAAAUUCAUCUUUGAUGCCAUUAUCACCCUGAAAUAGCACUGUUCAACAUGCGCUUUUAACUAAGGUGACCAGGCGUCCCCGAUUUCCGGGGACAGUCCCCAAAUUGCAUGAUCUGUCCCCGGCUAAAGCUGUCCCCGAAAAUGUCCCCGAUUUAAGCGUUUCAUGAAUGAGAACAAAAAUGUUGCAUGUGGGCUAGAACAACGGUUAUUACAGUGGGUAGGAAGCACGAGUUAGCAGUCCUGAACAACAGUAUUUACGGGGGUUAUUACAAGGGGCGUGCGCAGCUACUAAAUAGUACCGAGAUGUUGUCUGUGAUCACGCAGCCCAUGCAGCCCCUGCCCAUUCAUUUCCAAGAUGAAUUCAUUCAUUUGUUCAUUCCUAUCGUGUAUACAUUUUUUGUGUGAUAUAUCGGCCAUAUGAGCCUUUCAUAAAGGUGGUCAUCUGGAAAAGUAAGUGGGUCCGUGCGGUCUCUGAAAACUCUCGCGUGUCGGAGUGCUCCUCAGACAAUGCGAAGUUACCUCGCAGUAUUCCUGCCUCGUAGAACAGGCCCCAGGUCUAGACCACGCUCAUUGUUUGAUGAUCAAGAACCAACCUAAGAUGGGUUUUGGCCCAUCUCAACUAACAUGAGUAGCAGUGGCAAGGAAAAACUUCCUUUUAACAGGCAGAAACCUUGGGCAGGACCAGCCUCAUGUUAGACAGCCACCAUGCCGCUGCUGGUUUGGGGAGGAAUGUAGAGAGAUGGAGGGAGAGAGAGGAGAGAGAGGAGAGAGAGAGAGAGAGAAGAGGGGAGAGGGCAGGGGGAGAGAGAGAGAGAGAGAACAAGAUAAGGGGAAGGAGAGAGAGAAUGAGAGGCAAUGUCCCUUUACAUGAGUUGGUUCCUGUAUUGCCUGGGUAAGAUUAAAGGAGUCCAGAGUUUCAAUAAAAUCAACAGUUA